RNAcentral lists this long non-coding RNA (1613 nucleotides) under Homo sapiens (human). RNAcentral's name for it is "non-protein coding lnc-GOLGA8O-3:1". Lineage: Eukaryota; Metazoa; Chordata; Mammalia; Primates; Hominidae. The record is from RNAcentral.
AUGGAGGACGAGCAGCUCGACAGCCUGGAGGGCUGGGCGCCGGUCCGGCAAGGCCUCUUCGCCGAUGCCGAGAGGCACCGGCUGCGCUUCCUGGUGGCGUGGAAUGGCGCGGAGGGCAAGUUAGCUGUGACUUGUCACGACCUCACCGCGCAGCAGCCGCAGCGGCGCGAGGGGGCCCGGCUGGGGCUGGAGCCCAAACCCAAGGCCGCUGUGUCCCCGCCCAGCUGCCGUGUCCCCGCCCAGCUGCCGUGUUCCCGCCCAACUGGGCCGGCCGGUUCUCGGCCGCGGGGUUCCGCGGCGCGCGCUGGCAGCUAGCGGCGCUGUGGCCGCCUCUGGAACGCUGCUCCCCGCAGCUGGACGUGGGCGGCGGCGGGGCCUGGAGUCUGGGGCUCGGGCUGUGGGCGCUGCUCUGGCAGGCGCGCGCGGGCCCCGGCGAGGUGGCGCUGCAGGAGCUAUGCGGGCAGCUGGAGCGCUACCUGGGCGCGGCGGCCCACGGCUGCGGCGGCGCCACCGUGCGCCACGCUGUUUUCGCGGCUAAAGGCCGCGCGGCUGACUGCGAGAGCCCGCGCGAGUUUCGAGAGCGGGCCCUGCGCGCCUGAUGGGUCGAGGCGGACGCGCGGCUGCGUCAGGUUAUCCAAGGACAUGGAAAAGCCAACACCAUGGUAGCAUUAAUGAAAGUUUACCAAGAGGAAGAUGAAGCCUACCAGGAAUUAGUUACCAUGGCAACCAUGUUUUUCCAGUACUUACUGCAGCCAUUUAGGGCUAUGCGAGAAGUUGCAACUUUAUGUAAGCUUGAUAUUUUGAAUUCCUUGGAUGAGGAUGACGUAGGUCCUACGUCUCCAGGAUAGUUGCCCUGGAGAAAGAAGCUGAAGAAUGGACCAGACGGGCUGAAGAAGCUGUUGUCUCUAUUCAAGAUAUCACAGUGAAUUAUUUUAAUUAGACAGUAAAAGCAUUAGCAGGAAUGCAAAAAGAAAUGGAACAGGAUGUGAAGAGAUUUGGCCAGGCUGCCUGGGCCACAGCAAUUCCCAGGUUGGAAAAACUUAAGCUAAUGCUAGCUCAAGAGACUCUGCAACUCAUGAGAGCGAAAGAAUUGUAUUUAAAUCGCAAAAGAGCUGAAAUUCAGGGAAAGAUGGAAGAUCUUCCAGAACAAGAAAAAAAUAUAAAUGUUGUAGAUGAAUUAGAAAUGCAAUUUUAUGAAAUUCAGUUAGAACUAUAUGAAGUUAAAUUUGAGAUAUUAAAAAACGAAGAAAUACUGCUUACUACACAGUUGGACUCUCUUAAAAGACUUAUAAAAGAUGAAAUUUAGAAUCAAGUUCAAAACAAAAAACUCUUUGGAAUUUUGAUUGUGAUUUUGCUUAAAAUUAGAGAUUACUUUGGGGAGAAUAGUGGUCUUUGCAAUUUUGAAUCUUCCUACCCAAGAACAUGAAAAACAGGAUGAAGUUGUCUAUUACGAUCCAUGUGAAAGUCCAGAGGAACUUAGUCAUUGACUGUGGUGGGGCUGCAGGACGAUAAGAAUUCGGAAGUGAAAGAACUCAGAAGGCAGUGCCAGCAGCUGGAGUCUGUUAAACGGGGCAGUCUGUGUCAAAAGAGCUUCUCUCCAGAGUAGAAAGGUA